AACGAACGCUGGCGGCAUGCCUAACACAUGCAAGUCGAACGAGACCUUCGGGUCUAGUGGCGCACGGGUGCGUAACGCGUGGGAACCUGCCCUUAGGUUCGGAAUAACUCCCCGAAAGGGGUGCUAAUACCGGAUAAUGUCUUCGGACCAAAGAUUUAUCGCCUUUGGAUGGGCCCGCGUUGGAUUAGCUAGUUGUUAGGGUAAAAGCCUACCAAGGCGACGAUCCAUAGCUGGUCUGAGAGGAUGAUCAGCCACACUGGGACUGAGACACGGCCCAGACUCCUACGGGAGGCAGCAGUGGGGAAUAUUGGAAAAUGGGGGAAAGCCUGAUCCAGCAAUGCCGCGUGAGUGAUGAAGGCCUUAGGGUUGUAAAGCUCUUUUACCCGGGAUGAUAAUGACAGUACCGGGAGGAUAAGCUCCGGCUAACUCCGUG
This 433-nucleotide ribosomal RNA is filed under the name uncultured bacterium. RNAcentral describes it as "partial 16S ribosomal RNA". It matches the Rfam family "Bacterial small subunit ribosomal RNA", at positions 29 to 507 of the family's 1533-position model. The record is from RNAcentral.